Molecule: unclassified non-coding RNA, 227 nt
Filed under: Glomus sp.
Lineage: Eukaryota; Fungi; Glomeromycota; Glomeromycetes; Glomerales; Glomeraceae
Description: partial internal transcribed spacer 2
Rfam family: 5.8S ribosomal RNA (bases 1-65)
Source: RNAcentral
GUGAAUCAUCGAAUUUUUGAACGCAAAUUGCACUCUCUUGGAAGAGUAUGAGUGUUUGAGUGUCAGACUAAAAAAAAUCUACAUAGUUGCUGUUACGCGGUAACAUUCGUCGGAAAUUGGGUCAUCUUAAACCUUUGUGUUUAAGCGGCUUAAAAUUUUCUUUACGAUUCCAAGAACGUUUCUAGAAUUUUAUUUUCUUAUACGUUUCAGGUAUCGAUAUUUAUUCA